GACGAACGCUGGCGGCGUGCUUAACACAUGCAAGUCGAACGGAAAGGCCCUGCUUUUGUGGGGUGCUCGAGUGGCGAACGGGUGAGUAACACGUGAGUAACCUGCCCUUGACUUUGGGAUAACUUCAGGAAACUGGGGCUAAUACCGGAUAGGAGCUCCUGCUGCAUGGUGGGGGUUGGAAAGUUUCGGCGGUUGGGGAUGGACUCGCGGCUUAUCGGCUUGUUGGUGGGGUAGUGGCUUACCAAGGCUUUGACGGGUAGCCGGCCUGAGAGGGUGACCGGCCACAUUGGGACUGAGAUACGGCCCAGACUCCUACGGGAGGCAGCAGUGGGGAAUAUUGCACAAUGGGCGGAAGCCUGAUGCAGCAACGCCGCGUGCGGGAUAACGGCCUUCGGGUUGUAAACCGCUUUCGCCUGUGACGAAGCGUGAGUGACGGUAAUGGGUAAAGAAGCACCGGCUAACUACGUG
RNAcentral lists this ribosomal RNA (468 nucleotides) under uncultured bacterium. RNAcentral's name for it is "partial 16S ribosomal RNA". It matches the Rfam family "Bacterial small subunit ribosomal RNA", at positions 28 to 507 of the family's 1533-position model. The record is from RNAcentral.